RNAcentral lists this transfer RNA (87 nucleotides) under Treponemataceae bacterium. RNAcentral's name for it is "tRNA-Ser". It matches the Rfam family "tRNA". Rfam says of the family: Transfer RNA (tRNA) molecules are approximately 80 nucleotides in length. Their secondary structure includes four short double-helical elements and three loops (D, anti-codon, and T loops). Lineage: Bacteria; Pseudomonadati; Spirochaetota; Spirochaetia; Treponematales; Treponemataceae. The record is from RNAcentral.
UGGAGAGAUGCAAGAGUGGUUGAAUUGGACAGUCUCGAAAACUGCUGUGCCGCAAGGUACCGGGGGUUCGAAUCCCCCUCUCUCCGU